UGCGGAGGGAUCAUUACACAAAUUAAAAUAUGAAGGCUUCGGCUGGAUUAUUUUUAUCACCCUUGUCUUUUGCGCACUUGUUGUUUCCUGGGCGGGUUCGCCCGCCACCAGGACCACACCAUAAACCUUUUUUAUGCAGUUGCAAUCAGCGUCAGUAUAACAAAUGUAAAUCAUUUACAACUUUCAACAACGGAUCUCUUGGUUCUGGCAUCGAUGAAGAACGCAGCGAAAUGCGAUACGUAGUGUGAAUUGCAGAAUUCAGUGAAUCAUCGAAUCUUUGAACGCACAUUGCGCCCUUUGGUAUUCCAAAGGGCAUGCCUGUUCGAGCGUCAUUUGUACCCUCAAGCUUUGCUUGGUGUUGGGCGUCUUUUGUCUUUGGCCUCGCCCAAAGACUCGCCUUAAAACGAUUGGCAGCCGGCCUACUGGUUUCGCAGCGCAGCACAUUUUUGCGCUUGCAAUCAGCAAAAAGGACGGCAAUCCAUCAAGACUACAUUUUUACGUUUGACCUCGGAUCAGGUAGGGAUACCCGCUGAACUUAAGCAUAUCAAU
RNAcentral lists this ribosomal RNA (549 nucleotides) under Curvularia lunata. RNAcentral describes it as "eukaryotic LSU rRNA". The stretch from base 179 to 332 matches the Rfam family "5.8S ribosomal RNA". Lineage: Eukaryota; Fungi; Ascomycota; Dothideomycetes; Pleosporales; Pleosporaceae. The record is from RNAcentral.